Molecule: ribosomal RNA, 326 nt
Filed under: uncultured eukaryote
Lineage: Eukaryota
Description: partial 18S ribosomal RNA
Rfam family: Eukaryotic small subunit ribosomal RNA
Source: RNAcentral
CCCUUAGACGUUCUGGGCCGCACGCGCGCUACACUGACGGAGCCAGCGAGUAUAAACCUUGGCCGAGAGGUCUGGGAAAUCUUGUGAAACUCCGUCGUGCUGGGGAUAGAGCAUUGUAAUUAUUGCUCUUCAACGAGGAAUUCCUAGUAAGCGCAAGUCAUCAGCUUGCGUUGAUUACGUCCCUGCCCUUUGUACACACCGCCCGUCGUUGCUACCGAUUGGUUUACUGAUAGAACCAUUUGGAGCGGACCCUCUCGUUCUUCGGUUCGUCUGGGGCUGCAAAAUCUGGUGAUAUUUGUAAACUAGAGGAAGCAAAAGUCGUAACA